This 327-nucleotide ribosomal RNA is filed under the name uncultured eukaryote. RNAcentral describes it as "partial 18S ribosomal RNA". It matches the Rfam family "Eukaryotic small subunit ribosomal RNA", at positions 1470 to 1796 of the family's 1831-position model. The record is from RNAcentral.
CCCUUAGAUGUUCUGGGCCGCACGCGCGCUACACUGACGAAUGCAACGAGCUUAUAACCUUGGCCGAAAGGUCUGGGUAAUCUCCAAAUUUCGUCGUGAUGGGGAUAGAUUAUUGCAAUUAUUAAUCUUCAACGAGGAAUGCCUAGUAAGCGCAAGUCAUCAGCUUGCGUUGAUUACGUCCCUGCCCUUUGUACACACCGCCCGUCGCCCCUACCGAUUGAAUGGUCCGGUGAAGCGUUCGGACCGUGGCCUUUGGACGGUUCGCCGUCUGUUGGCUGCGGGAAGUUCGUUAAACCUUAUCAUUUAGAGGAAGGAGAANUCGUANCA